This 483-nucleotide long non-coding RNA is filed under the name Mytilus galloprovincialis (Mediterranean mussel). The record is from RNAcentral. Lineage: Eukaryota; Metazoa; Mollusca; Bivalvia; Mytilida; Mytilidae.
GUGUUUUUAUGCCCCACCUACGAUAGUAGAGGGGCAUUAUGUUUUCUGGUCUGUGCGUCCGUUCGUUCGUCCGUCCGUUCGUUCGUCUGUCCGUCCGUCCGUUCGUUCGUUCGUCCGUCUGUCCCGCUUCAGGUUAAAGUUUUUGGUCGAGGUAGUUUUUAUGCCCCACCUACGAUAGUAGAGGGGCAUUAUGUUUUCUGGUCUGUGCGUCCGUUCGUUCGUCCGUCCGUUCGUCCGUCCGUUCGUUCGUUCGUUCGUCCGUCUGUCCCGCUUCAGGUUAAAGUUUUUGGUUGAGGUAGUUUUUGAUGAAGUUGAAGUCCAAUCGACUUCAAACUUGGUACACAUGUUCCCUAUGAUAUGAUCUUUCUAAUUUUAAUGCCAAAUUAGAGAUUUUACCCCAAUUUCACGGUCCACUGAACAUAGAAAAUGAUAGUGCGAGUGGGGCAUUCGUGUACUGAGGACACAUUCUUGUUUCUUACUAAA